GAUGAACGCUGGCGGCGUGCCUAAUACAUGCAAGUCGAGCGAACAGACGAGGAGCUUGUUCCCCUGACGUUAGCGGCGGACGGGUGAGUAACACGUGGAUAACCUACCUAUAAGACUGGGAUAACUUCGGGAAACCGGAGCUAAUACCGGAUAAUAUAUUGAACCGCAUGGUUCAAUAGUGAAAGACGGUUUUGCUGUCACUUAUAGAUGGAUCCGCGCCGCAUUAGCUAGUUGGUAAGGUAACGGCUUACCAAGGCAACGAUGCGUAGCCGACCUGAGAGGGUGAUCGCCCACACUGGAACUGAGACACGGUCCAGACUCCUACGGGAGGCAGCAGUAGGGAAUCUUCCGCAAUGGGCGAAAGCCUGACAGAGCAACGCCGCGUGAGUGAUGAAGGUCUUCGGAUCGUAAAACUCUGUUGUUAGGGAAGAACAAAUGUGUGAGUAACUAUGCACGUCUUGACGGUACCUAAUCAGAAAGCCACGGCUAACUACGUG
RNAcentral lists this ribosomal RNA (497 nucleotides) under uncultured bacterium. Its description in RNAcentral is "partial 16S ribosomal RNA". It matches the Rfam family "Bacterial small subunit ribosomal RNA", at positions 28 to 507 of the family's 1533-position model. The record is from RNAcentral.